RNAcentral lists this transfer RNA (73 nucleotides) under Fibrobacter sp. Its description in RNAcentral is "tRNA-Phe". It matches the Rfam family "tRNA". Rfam says of the family: Transfer RNA (tRNA) molecules are approximately 80 nucleotides in length. Their secondary structure includes four short double-helical elements and three loops (D, anti-codon, and T loops). Further hydrogen bonds mediate the characteristic L-shaped molecular structure. tRNAs have two regions of fundamental functional importance: the anti-codon, which is responsible for specific mRNA codon recognition, and the 3' end, to which the tRNAs corresponding amino acid is attached (by aminoacyl-tRNA synthetases). tRNAs cope with the degeneracy of the genetic code in two manners: having more than one tRNA (with a specific anti-codon) for a particular amino acid; and 'wobble' base-pairing, i.e. permitting non-standard base-pairing at the 3rd anti-codon position. The record is from RNAcentral. Lineage: Bacteria; Pseudomonadati; Fibrobacterota; Fibrobacteria; Fibrobacterales; Fibrobacteraceae.
GGCUCUGUAGCUCAGUCGGUAGAGCAGAGGACUGAAAAUCCUCGUGUCAGCGGUUCAAUCCCGCUUGGAGCCA